Molecule: long non-coding RNA, 695 nt
Organism: Homo sapiens (human)
Lineage: Eukaryota; Metazoa; Chordata; Mammalia; Primates; Hominidae
Source: Ensembl
GACAAGCUCACCAAGAAAGAAGGCAGGAUCUCAUGAGAAUGCGUAACAGGACACUCCACCUGGCACGGUAGGUCAGGAAGAGGUCCUCAAAGAAGGAACACGUAAAGUGUGAGCCAGCGGGGCAGGAGUGGAAGCUGCAAGUGCAUCUUUCUGUAUCGCGUUUGUGAGAGCUCAUUAUCGAGUUGACACGAACCCCUGGCCCAGCACAUGCUGCACAUGCCGUACCUUUCUUGUGAAGAAUGUUCCGGGCUCGUACCAGGUCAGGAUCGUCAGGCCCAACACCCAGAAUUCUGAGAGACACAUAGUUGAGCGCAGUCCCAAACACGGUGGACUUAUCCUCAAUGUGCCUACAGGAGCAGAGGACAGGCAAGGAAACUGAGGCUCAGCCAGUAAAUGGUGGGGCUAGGAGGUCAGACCCGAUUCAGUGUUCACCAGAGUGCUGCCCAAUGCCGCACAGGCCACAGUCAAUGGGAGCUGUCUACAUAGCAUCAUGGACCAAGAGCAUUUUCCAAAGUCCAAAAAGAGGGAAGAAAAGCUCCAACUCAGCCAGGAAAAACCAGGCCAUACAGAGAUAGGAGCUGAAGAGACAUAGUGAGAAGUGACCAGAAGACAAGAGUGAGAGCCUUCUGUUAAGCCCGGACAAGGCCACUAGAGGGCUCCUUGGUCUAGCGGUAACGCCAGCAUCUGGGAAGAGG